Molecule: ribozyme, 75 nt
Filed under: Crocodylus porosus (Australian saltwater crocodile)
Lineage: Eukaryota; Metazoa; Chordata; Crocodylia; Crocodylidae
Description: Mammalian CPEB3 ribozyme (ENSCPRG00005012947.1)
Rfam family: Mammalian CPEB3 ribozyme (bases 12-75)
About the family: The mammalian CPEB3 ribozyme is a self cleaving RNA located in the second intron of the CPEB3 gene which belongs to a family of genes regulating messenger RNA polyadenylation. This ribozyme is highly conserved and found only in mammals.
Source: Rfam by way of RNAcentral
ACCCCCUGUCCAGGCCAUAGCAGAAGCACUCACAGUGUGGCCCUGUCAGAUUCCAAUGGAUCUGCAAAUUCUUCU